Molecule: ribosomal RNA, 409 nt
Filed under: uncultured bacterium
Lineage: Bacteria
Description: partial 16S ribosomal RNA
Rfam family: Bacterial small subunit ribosomal RNA
Source: RNAcentral
UGGGGAAUUUUGGACAAUGGGGGCAACCCGUGAUCCAGCAAUGCCGCGUGUGUGAAGAAGGCCUUCGGGUUGUAAAGCACUUUUGUCCGGAAAGAAAACGUCGUGGUUAAUACCCGUGGCGGCUGACGGUACCGGAAGAAUAAGCACCGGCUAACUACGUGCCAGCAGCCGCGGUAAUACGUAGGGUGCAAGCGUUAAUCGGAAUUACUGGGCGUAAAGCGUGCGCAGGCGGUCCGCUAAGACAGAUGUGAAAUCCCCGGGCUUAACCUGGGAACUGCAUUUGUGACUGGCGGGCUAGAGUAUGGCAGAGGGGGGUUAGAAUUCCACGUGUAGCAGUGAAAUGCGUAGAGAUGUGGAGGAAUACCGAUGGCGAAGGCAGCCCCCUGGGCCAAUACUGACGCUCAUGCAC